Non-coding RNA from Echinostoma caproni, 45 nucleotides. The record is from Rfam. NCBI's taxonomy places the organism in Eukaryota, Metazoa, Platyhelminthes, Trematoda, Plagiorchiida, Echinostomatidae.
GCACUGCUGAUGAGUCCAAAAGAGGACGAAACAGCUGUCAAGUGC